This is a non-coding RNA of Acanthosepion pharaonis, 111 nucleotides long. The record is from the annotation of a GenBank genome assembly. Lineage: Eukaryota; Metazoa; Mollusca; Cephalopoda; Sepiida; Sepiidae.
AUGACCAUAUCACGUUGAAGCACUGGUCCUUCUACGAUCACUAAAGUUAAGCAACGUCGAGCUUGGUCAGUACCUAGGUGGGUGAAGGCUUGUGAAUACAAGGUGUUGUAA